RNAcentral lists this non-coding RNA (24 nucleotides) under Rattus norvegicus (Norway rat). The record is from RNAcentral. Lineage: Eukaryota; Metazoa; Chordata; Mammalia; Rodentia; Muridae.
UGAGUGAACUCAUUCUGCAUUCCC